Molecule: ribosomal RNA, 253 nt
Filed under: uncultured bacterium
Lineage: Bacteria
Description: partial 16S ribosomal RNA
Rfam family: Bacterial small subunit ribosomal RNA
Source: RNAcentral
GACGAAGGAUGCAAGCGUUAUCCGGAUUCAUUGGGUUUAAAGGGUGCGUAGGUGGACUUGUAAGUCAGUGGUGAAAUCUUUGGGCUUAACCCAGAAACUGCCAUUGAUACUGCAGGUCUAGAGUACAGUUGCCGUUGGCGGAAUAUGACAUGUAGUGGUGAAAUACUUAGAUAUGUCAUAGAACACCGAUUGCGAAGGCAGCUAACGAAGCUGUAACUGACACUGAGGCUCGAAAGUGCGGGGAUCAAACAGG